RNAcentral lists this long non-coding RNA (227 nucleotides) under Helianthus annuus (common sunflower). Its description in RNAcentral is "hypothetical non coding rna". The stretch from base 140 to 227 matches the Rfam family "Small nucleolar RNA snR60/Z15/Z230/Z193/J17". The record is from RNAcentral. Lineage: Eukaryota; Viridiplantae; Streptophyta; Magnoliopsida; Asterales; Asteraceae.
AGCCAAUGAUGAUUAGUACUAUAUUUGCGUAAUGUAUGAAAAAUUAUGAUUACGUUAAUUCUACUGCCUUCCUUCUGAGGCUUUUUGUUUUCAUGUUUUUUUUAUAAGUUUUUGGUUUUCUUGUUUUAAUGAAGAUUGAGAAGUUCAAAUGAUGAUCAAUUGCAUAGUUCAAAUGACUGUCUGUGAUUAGAAAUUAUUUAGUCUUUCGCUCCUAUCUGAUGAACUUC